UACAGAGGGGGCAAGCGUUGUUCGGAAUUACUGGGCGUAAAGGGCGCGUAGGCGGCCUGUUAAGUCGAACGUGAAAUCCCCGGGCUCAACCCGGGAACUGCGUCCGAUACUGGCAGGCUUGAAUUCGGGAGAGGGAUGCGGAAUUCCAGGUGUAGCGGUGAAAUGCGUAGAUAUCUGGAGGAACACCGGUGGCGAAGGCGGCAUCCUGGACCAAUACUGACGCUCAUGUGCGAAAGCGUGGGGAGCAAACAGG
RNAcentral lists this ribosomal RNA (253 nucleotides) under uncultured bacterium. RNAcentral describes it as "partial 16S ribosomal RNA". It matches the Rfam family "Bacterial small subunit ribosomal RNA", at positions 524 to 776 of the family's 1533-position model. The record is from RNAcentral.